AGGGAAUUGAAACUAUCCACAAGAUAAUGAUCAAAUGGUAUUAAGAUUCUGGGUAUAAGGUGCUGUUCAAAUUAAGAGUUUAUCAUCUACAGAGGAUCUUCAUGGCUGGUAGAACUCCAAGAUUAGUAAAAGCAAGGCCGAGUCUCACAGAUAAAUCAGAUUUUUGAACAGUCACAAGAAGAGAUAUGAAGGACACUGACCAGACUGUACCCCAAGUGUCUGUGAUGAGUCCAUGAUGAGAAGAAAGGAAGAGAUGGAGAAACAAUGAUACAGAAGAAGAAGGACAUUGUCAGAACAUAGUGGCUGAGAAUGUGCAUCCAUAUCAUGUCAAAAUACAGGUCUGUACAACUUUACUAAUGAUAUUACUGGCCAAAGUGUUUGUUUUAAUGCUAUGAAUAGCCAUAUUUCUAUUACAGACAGACUCACCAGCAUUGUGUUAUAACUGAAAACGCGAGUUAUAGAGACUUGUUGGACCCCAUUCUUAUCACAAAUGAUAUCCAGGUAGAAUCUCAAGGAGAACCCACUAACUUUCCACACGUGAAAAACAAAAGCUUACAUACUUAAGUUCCAGGAAUCUUUUAAUAUUUCAUGGAUCUCUAUCAAAAUCUCUGAAACAAAUCAUUCAAAAUGAUUUGGGUAUGGAAACAUACCACAAAGGAGAUAGUUCUCCCAUAAUUCCAGAGGACAGUGAUCGAACAGGUUAUCUACUUCCUGACAGAGAACUAAUGGAUAAAAUAUGCACAAUGAGAGACAUUUUUUGGGACAUGGUCAAUAUAGGAAUUUGUUUGGCUUGUC
Long non-coding RNA from Sarcophilus harrisii (Tasmanian devil), 795 nucleotides. RefSeq lists it as uncharacterized. The record is from RefSeq and is a predicted model, not a curated record. NCBI's taxonomy places the organism in Eukaryota, Metazoa, Chordata, Mammalia, Dasyuromorphia, Dasyuridae. The transcript has 3 exons.